AUCACUGAGCUGCGCCCAGCCUUGGACUACCUUUUCUGAAGCUCAAGAGGGGGAUGGGCAAUAUCCAGGUCUGGAUCCAAGCCCAGAGCCCAGAGCUUCCCAGGGUGAAGUGCCACUUGAGCUCCGGCCCCACUCUCCCAUUGGGGACAUUGCAAUCUGACUCCCAAGUCCGUGGUUCUCAGGAAACCUGAGCCUGCCCCAGGUGCAGAGCUCGUGGGAAGGGCAGGGCCCACUGCUUGGCCUGUGGAGAAAGCCUCCGCUUUUAUCCUGACUGAGGCUCCGUGGCUGGGACUGCACACAGGCAACUUUGUCCCUAACAUUCAGGACCCAGUGCACUGGGCCACACUAGGAAGAGGUUCAGGCAGGGCCAGGGUUAAAGCCAUGUUGUGUUUUCAGAGUUGGAAGAGUGCCGGACCCCAGCAGAGGGUUCCAGUGAUGGAUCACGAAGUUCCAUCUUCAGUCACGCCGUGCUGGCUUCUGUUGGCUUGAGUUUCACAAGGACAGUCGGGUGUGCCCAUCUUCAGACUACGGUCUCUGGAGGAGCAGUCUGGGGCAGGAAGUCAUCUGUAUUGGAAUACCUAGGACCCCUCCGAUGCAGCCCAGAGCAGCUCCUGGAAGCGAAUGCUGUGCUACAUUCUAAAACACCUGAGCAAGUAGCGUGCUUUCCAGCCCAGUGCUGGAGGUGGAAGCCAGGGCCACUCGUAGGCUAGACAUGCACUCUGCCACCAGCCACACGCCCAGCUCCAGGACGGGUCACGCAGACCAGGCUGACCUUAGAGAUCUGCCCGAGCGCUCUGCCUCUGAGUGCUGUGGGAGAAGGCAGGCGCCACUCUCCUCAACUCCUGUAUUUUCAGAGACAAGGUCUCACUGAGUGCACUUGGGCGUCCUGGAGCUGUCUGUAGACUGGGAAGGCUUCAAACUCAGGGAUCCGCUGUCUCCACCUCCAAGUACUAAGAUUAAAGACAUGUGCCACCAUAGCCGCUUAUUUUUAUUAAACAAAACAAAACCCAAGUUUUUUGAGACAGAGUCUAAGUUGCCCCAGGCUAGCCCCUUGUUGUACCCAGUUCCGGGUUGAUCAUACACAUUUCUUCCUCACGUCUUCUACCCACUUCCCGAGUCAGGCCCCCACCGCCGCCGAUCCCUGAGCACAGGGGUCCUUUUUGUCACCGCACCCAUUCCUGUUGUUCCAAUCACUUCCCACCCCGGACCGACACAAAGAACCCACACACCACUGGCAGGUUGGAGGCUGGUUUAUAUGAAGGUUAACUCACAGCAAGGACCACCAGCACGCUGCUGCAGGUCACCACUGCCUGGCAGAAGUCAGGACAGGGAGGGCUGGAGGGGAAGACGAUGUCACAGACUGUCCCAGGCACACCAGACACCAGCAAGGACCCACGGGUGCCGAUGACAACCGCACUUUCCAGCAGGGGUUGCAGAGCCUCAGACUCCAUGGGAUCCCAGGCUGUCCUACUCCUCACGUAGGCGGUGGCUGGCUUCAGACCCACUUAGUAGCUGGGGACGACCUUCAACGUCCCA
Mesocricetus auratus (golden hamster) is the source of this 1536-nucleotide long non-coding RNA. RefSeq lists it as uncharacterized. The transcript has 2 exons. The record is from RefSeq and is a predicted model, not a curated record. NCBI's taxonomy places the organism in Eukaryota, Metazoa, Chordata, Mammalia, Rodentia, Cricetidae.